This 452-nucleotide ribosomal RNA is filed under the name uncultured bacterium. RNAcentral describes it as "bacterial SSU rRNA". It matches the Rfam family "Bacterial small subunit ribosomal RNA", at positions 96 to 524 of the family's 1533-position model. The record is from RNAcentral.
UGGCGGACGGGUGAGUAACGCGUAGGUAACCUGCCUCUAAGACCGGGAUAACUCGUCGAAAGAUGGGCUAAUACUAGAUAAGACCACAAUUCCUUCGGGGAUAGGGGUCAAAGGUAGCCUCUGCAUGCAAGCUAUCACUUAGAGAUGGGCCUGCGUACCAUUAGCUAGUUGGUAGGGUAACGGCCUACCAAGGCUAAAAUGGUUAGCUGGUCUGAGAGGAUGAUCAGCCACACUGGAACUGAGACACGGUCCAGACUCCUACGGGAGGCAGCAGUGGGGAAUAUUGCGCAAUGGGCGAAAGCCUGACGCAGCAACGCCGCGUGAGUGAUGAAGGCCUUCGGGUCGUAAAGCUCUGUCGGAGGGAACGAAUGCUCUCGAGGUUAACAGCCUCGGGAAGUGACGGUACCCUCAGAGGAAGCACCGGCUAACUCUGUGCCAGCAGCCGCGGUAAU